This 480-nucleotide ribosomal RNA is filed under the name Escherichia coli. RNAcentral's name for it is "bacterial SSU rRNA". It matches the Rfam family "Bacterial small subunit ribosomal RNA", at positions 112 to 589 of the family's 1533-position model. The record is from RNAcentral. Lineage: Bacteria; Pseudomonadati; Pseudomonadota; Gammaproteobacteria; Enterobacterales; Enterobacteriaceae.
UAUGUCUGGGAACUGCCUGAUGGAGGGGGAUAACUACUGGAAACGGUAGCUAAUACCGCAUAACGUCGCAAGACCAAAGAGGGGGACCUUCGGGCCUCUUGCCAUCGGAUGUGCCCAGAUGGGAUUAGCUAGUAGGUGGGGUAACGGCUCACCUAGGCGACGAUCCCUAGCUGGUCUGAGAGGAUGACCAGCCACACUGGAACUGAGACACGGUCCAGACUCCUACGGGAGGCAGCAGUGGGGAAUAUUGCACAAUGGGCGCAAGCCUGAUGCAGCCAUGCCGCGUGUAUGAAGAAGGCCUUCGGGUUGUAAAGUACUUUCAGCGGGGAGGAAGGGAGUAAAGUUAAUACCUUUGCUCAUUGACGUUACCCGCAGAAGAAGCACCGGCUAACUCCGUGCCAGCAGCCGCGGUAAUACGGAGGGUGCAAGCGUUAAUCGGAAUUACUGGGCGUAAAGCGCACGCAGGCGGUUUGUUAAGUC